Molecule: ribosomal RNA, 253 nt
Filed under: uncultured bacterium
Lineage: Bacteria
Description: partial 16S ribosomal RNA
Rfam family: Bacterial small subunit ribosomal RNA
Source: RNAcentral
UACGUAGGUGACCAGCGUUGUCCGGAUUUACUGGGCGUAAAGAGCGCGCAGGCGGUCGUUCAAGUCGAGUGUGAAAGCCCCCGGCUCAACUGGGGAGGGUCACGCGAUACUGAUCGACUCGAAGGCAGGAGAGGGAAGUGGAAUUCCCGGUGUAGUGGUGAAAUGCGUAGAUAUCGGGAGGAACACCAGUGGCGAAGGCGACUUCCUGGCCUGUUCUUGACGCUGAGGCGCGAAAGCUAGGGUAGCAAACGGG